RNAcentral lists this ribosomal RNA (850 nucleotides) under uncultured bacterium. Its description in RNAcentral is "bacterial SSU rRNA". It matches the Rfam family "Bacterial small subunit ribosomal RNA", at positions 8 to 856 of the family's 1533-position model. The record is from RNAcentral.
AGAGUUUGAUCCUGGCUCAGGAUGAACGCUGGCGGCGUGCCUAACACAUGCAAGUCGAACGAAGCACCCGCGCGGAUUCCCUCGGGAUGAAGCGCGGAUGACUGAGUGGCGGACGGGUGAGUCACGCGUGGGCAACCUGCCCCGUGCCGGGGGACAACAGCCGGAAACGGCUGCUAAUACCGCAUGAUCCGGGAGGGCCGCAUGGCCCUGCCGGGAAAGCUCCGGCGGCACGGGAUGGGCCCGCGUCUGAUUAGUUUGUUGGCGGGGUAACGGCCCACCAAGACUGCGAUCAGCAGCCGGCCUGAGAGGGCGGCCGGCCACAUUGGGACUGAGACACGGCCCAGACUCCUGCGGGAGGCAGCAGUGGGGAAUAUUGCACAAUGGGGGAAACCCUGAUGCAGCGACGCCGCGUGGGCGACGAAGCGCUCCGGCGCGUAAAGCCCUGUCAGCAGGGAAGAACAAAGACAGUACCUGACCAAGAAGCCCCGGCUAACUACGUGCCAGCAGCCGCGGUAAUACGUAGGGGGCAAGCGUUAUCCGGAUUCACUGGGCGUAAAGGGAGCGCAGGCGGCACGGCAAGUCUGGUGUGAAAGCCCGGGGCCCAACCCCGGGACUGCAUUGGAAACUGCCGGGCUGGAGUGCCGGAGGGGUAAGCGGAAUUCCUGGUGUAGCGGCGAAAUGCGCAGAUAUCAGGAAGAACACCGGUGGCGUAGGCGGCUUACUGGACGGCAACUGACGCUGAGGCUCGAAAGCGUGGGGAGCAAACAGGAUUAGACACCCUGGUAGUCCACGCCGUAAACGAUAAAUACUAGGUACCGGGGCACAAAAGUGCUUCUGUGCCGCAGCUAAC